RNAcentral lists this ribosomal RNA (230 nucleotides) under Klebsiella grimontii. Its description in RNAcentral is "partial 23S ribosomal RNA". It matches the Rfam family "Bacterial large subunit ribosomal RNA", at positions 1422 to 1651 of the family's 2925-position model. The record is from RNAcentral. Lineage: Bacteria; Pseudomonadati; Pseudomonadota; Gammaproteobacteria; Enterobacterales; Enterobacteriaceae.
GAAACAGGUUAAUAUUCCUGUACUCGGUGUUACUGCGAAGGGGGGACGGAGAAGGCUAUGUUGGCCGGGCGACGGUUGUCCCGGUUUAAGCAUGUAGGCGGAUGUUCCAGGUAAAUCCGGAACGUUACUAACGCUGAGGUGUGAUGACGAGGCACUACGGUGCUGAAGUGACAAAUGCCCUGCUUCCAGGAAAAGCCUCUAAGCAUCAGGUAACAUCAAAUCGUACCCCA